GGAGAAUAAGCUCCCUUUCAUAUGUAUGCAGAAAGAAACCGGAGGGGUUAGAGCAGUGAGCCCAGCCUGACGGAAUCACCCUCUCCAAAGACUGCCUGAGGGCCCCUGGCAAGAAACGGCCUCCGCGGAGGAAAUGUCCAGUCCCCUCUCGUCCCUGGUCCUGACGCCAAAGCCUGGGUUGCCCGCCCGAGCACGGAAGAGAGUCAUCUUCCGAAAACGGAACAUGAAUGGUUGCAAACCCACUAAAAAGAGAUUUUCCUUGACUUACCUUUCCUUGACUUACCUUGAUGGAAAUGAGCGUCGUUUCCGUCAUGAAAUGAUGCUCCCUCACCCCCGCAGACUGGAAGCUGCGAUGCCAGAGGGAGAGGCUCUGGGCUCCCGAGGAGAAGAGCCAUUGCUGAUGGACACACAGAUUCCCGCGCUCUUCUCGGAGGGCAGACCUCUAAUUUCAGGAAGAAUCGAGAGACAGCAUGUUCUUUCUAUAUCUAAGAAGACUAUUACUCUGUCCCCAGGUACCAAAAAGCAGAAUCUUCCUAAUGUGUCAUGGGAAACAUUUUAAUCUUUCAUCUGAGAAGUUUUUAAACUUCACUCCAGGGAGGUAAGAAUCAC
RNAcentral lists this long non-coding RNA (609 nucleotides) under Mustela putorius furo (domestic ferret). RNAcentral describes it as "lncRNA (ENSMPUG00000025090.1)". The record is from RNAcentral. Lineage: Eukaryota; Metazoa; Chordata; Mammalia; Carnivora; Mustelidae.